Molecule: small RNA, 547 nt
Filed under: Pan troglodytes (chimpanzee)
Lineage: Eukaryota; Metazoa; Chordata; Mammalia; Primates; Hominidae
Description: processed transcript
Source: RNAcentral
GAAUCAAACUUGACUUGUAAAGCCAAUAAAAGCCCCUUGGAGAAUUGGCCUCAGAUCUUGUCUGCAACUGUCCCUGUAAAGGUGAGGGAACUGAAACACACUGAGCUGAACAGGAGCCUUUGGAGAGAACGCUCUGGACCGGUGAGUGAGCCAUGAGGUCGAGCCACAGGCUCUGAAGUCGUGAAGCCUUGGGACGGAGCGGGUGGUGCUUCGAGGAAGCGCGCCCCCGGGGCCGGUCCCGGAGGGCUCGAUCCGCGUCUACAGCAUGAGGUUCUGCCCGUUUGCUGAGAGGACGCGUCUGGUCCUGAAGGCCAAGGGAAUCAGGCAUGAAGUCAUCAAUAUCAACCUGAAAAAUAAGCCUGAGUGGUUCUUUAAGAAAAAUCCCUUUGGUCUGGUGCCAGUUCUGGAAAACAGUCAGGGUCAGCUGAUCUACGAGUCUGCCAUCACCUGUGAGUACCUGGAUGAAGCAUACCCAGGGAAGAAGCUGUUGCCGGAUGACCCCUAUGAGAAAGCUUGCCAGAAGAUGAUCUUAGAGUUGUUUUCUAAG